RNAcentral lists this ribosomal RNA (492 nucleotides) under uncultured bacterium. Its description in RNAcentral is "partial 16S ribosomal RNA". It matches the Rfam family "Bacterial small subunit ribosomal RNA", at positions 29 to 507 of the family's 1533-position model. The record is from RNAcentral.
AGUGAACGCUGGCGGUAGGCCUAACACAUGCAAGUCGAACGGCAGCACAGUAAGAGCUUGCUCUUACGGGUGGCGAGUGGCGGACGGGUGAGGAAUACAUCGGAAUCUACUUUUUCGUGGGGGAUAACGUAGGGAAACUUACGCUAAUACCGCAUACGACCUACGGGUGAAAGCAGGGGAUCUUCGGACCUUGCGCGAUUGAAUGAGCCGAUGUCGGAUUAGCUAGUUGGCGGGGUAAAGGCCCACCAAGGCGACGAUCCGUAGCUGGUCCGAGAGGAUGAUCAGCCACACUGGAACUGAGACACGGUCCAGACUCCUACGGGAGGCAGCAGUGGGGAAUAUUGGACAAUGGGCGCAAGCCUGAUCCAGCCAUACCGCGUGGGUGAAGAAGGCCUUCUGGUUGUAAAGCCCUUUUGUUGGGAAAGAAAAGCAGCAGGUUAAUACCCCGCUGUUCUGACGGUACCCAAAGAAUAAGCACCGGCUAACUUCGUG